Molecule: ribosomal RNA, 464 nt
Filed under: Vreelandella stevensii
Lineage: Bacteria; Pseudomonadati; Pseudomonadota; Gammaproteobacteria; Oceanospirillales; Halomonadaceae
Description: partial 16S ribosomal RNA
Rfam family: Bacterial small subunit ribosomal RNA
Source: RNAcentral
CCUCGGGUGGCUGCAGUGGGGAAUAUUGGACAAUGGGCGAAAGCCUGAUCCAGCCAUGCCGCGUGUGUGAAGAAGGCCUUCGGGUUGUAAAGCACUUUCAGUGGGGAAGAAAGCCUUGGGGCUAAUACCCUCGAGGAAGGACAUCACCCACAGAAGAAGCACCGGCUAACUCCGUGCCAGCAGCCGCGGUGAUACGGAGGGUGCGAGCGUUAAUCGGAAUUACUGGGCGUAAAGCGCGCGUAGGCGGUCUGAUAAGCCGGUUGUGAAAGCCCCGGGCUCAACCUGGGAACGGCAUCCGGAACUGUCAGGCUAGAGUGCAGGAGAGGAAGGUAGAAUUCCCGGUGUAGCGGUGAAAUGCGUAGAGAUCGGGAGGAAUACCAGUGGCGAAGGCGGCCUUCUGGACUGACACUGACGCUGAGGUGCGAAAGCGUGGGUAGCAAACAGGAUUAGAUACCCUGGUAGUC